Homo sapiens (human) is the source of this 1548-nucleotide long non-coding RNA. Ensembl annotates it as long intergenic non-protein coding RNA 905. Lineage: Eukaryota; Metazoa; Chordata; Mammalia; Primates; Hominidae. The record is from Ensembl.
AGAAUCUCGUCAGUUAAGGACCUGGUCAGUUGGGUCCAGUCAGUGGGGGCCUGGUCAGUGGAGACCUAGGCCAUCAGUGGGUCCUGGAUAGUGAGGCCUGGUCAUUGGGGUCCUGGCACAGACCCAGGCCCAGGGGAUGCCCAAUGCUGGGAGGAGGCUCAGACAGCAGGAAGGAGAGAAGGAAGGAAGGAACUUCCGUAGUACCGAUGCCUACAAAAUUACAACACGUGGUGCUGUUUCUACUCCAUCACCAUGUUCGCUCUUUAUUUCCUAUGUAAUUCUCUAUUCAACCGGCCUCAGUUGAGCACAAAACCAUCCUUGUACCACCAUGAAUAGUUGGCCAUGGCUCUUUGAUAGCAAUUUUUGUUCUGCCGUAGAAAUUAUCCUUGAACCAGAAAAAAAAAUCCCCAAUUCAACACUCCAUUUUUGUGAAGAGCUGGUUCCGAAUUCUGGGUCACUUUUUGGAAAAAAUAUCUGUUGUGGUAAACAGUGCUGCAUCUGUGAUCUCAAGUCUCUACUGGAAUUGGAUAGAGAUGGUGAAUUUCAGCCAGAGCGCCCAAAGAACUCGUGUCCCGCGCUCCUGAACGCCAUCAGCCGCCGCACCUCCAUCUUCCCUCCUCCCACGAGUCUCCUGCUCCCCGUGACUCUGGCCUCCUCGCAGUGUUGCUGGGCCACGUCAGGAAGUGCUGGAGGACGUGGCAUUGCACCAACACCAGGCGGCCAGCCGUGUGGCUCAUCCCGCAAAUCAGGCUCUUCCUGUGCAUGGAGAUGGAGUCCCUCUGGAGGCAGCCCGUGGCCCUGUUCUCGGGCAGGUGGAGCAUGGAGACGACUGGGAACUUCACUAGACACGCAUCCAGCCGGUUCAAGGGCUUGUCGCGCCGUGCACCAGCUUGCAGGAGAAGUAGAGCCCAACGCCUCGCCAAGCACGAAGGCCUCCCUUCCCGACUUGAUGAAGGCAGAGUAGCGGUUGAGGUUGCGGCUCACAGUGACCGAGCUCCUGCCCACGUGGGGACCCAGGGAGCCGUCGAGCUCCAGGUAUGCACCUCUGCCCAGUGCACCUGGAUCGUUCACCGUCAUGGAGCUGCCAUCCCACUUGUCGUCCCAGUCAUCAUCACUGCCCUAGCUGGCCUAGUUGCCACCAAGGAGCUGCUGAGGCCACGGCUUCAGGGCAUCCCUACCGCCUGGAAAUCCUGCGCUGGCUGCUGGAAGGCACUCUGUGGUGGCACCAGCUGCGGCUGCAGUAGCAGCUGGAAAGCACUGAGAGAUGGCUUCAAGGAGGCAGGCAGUGCACCGGGCAGGGCCUUGAAACCUCUGGGUGGUACAAUGGCCAUGGCACAGUGGGUCAAGGCACAGGGGCAGCCAUGGCGCGCUGGGCCAGUCCAGGGUUGCAGACCACUUGCACUGCAGAUAUAAGGCCAGGGUUGCUGAGGCCAUGAGCCCCUGCGAGUCAGCCCUUGAUGUCCUGCUCACUACACAGGCUCAGCACUUCAUGUUCUCAUAGAUCACUCUCAAAUUUUCUGCCAUCAAGUGGUACAGCAACUGAAUCCA